Molecule: unclassified non-coding RNA, 79 nt
Filed under: Epilithonimonas pallida
Lineage: Bacteria; Pseudomonadati; Bacteroidota; Flavobacteriia; Flavobacteriales; Weeksellaceae
Description: Flavo-1 RNA
Source: RNAcentral
UUGCAGCCCGGCUUGAGCGGAGCUCCUUUUUACGCAACGCAGUGAAGUGAAAAGAGCGUGAGCGGAAGACGGAAAAAGC